GAAACCUUGGGGGGGAGGGUGUGUGUGUGUGUAAGGCAGUGGUCCCCAAACUUUUCCUCUAUGGAAUAGAAUGUAUCCGUGUCCCCCCUGGGCUGGGAGCAGAGUUGCAGUUGUGGCCAGGGGCUGGCAACUGGGGCUGCAGCUGCAGCUGGGGGUGGAACUGGAGCAGAGCCGGGGACAGAGCAGGAUUGAGUGGUGCUCCCUCCCCGCCCUCUUGUGGGGACUGGCCUGUGCCCCCCAGAUAUUCCUCCAUGCCCCCUACGGGGGUGUGCCCCACAGUUUGGGGACCACUGGCCUAGGUAGUAUCUUCAGAGCUUAUGGUGGCAUAAGCCCAAAUGAUGAUAGCUGUGCCAACAGAAGCACUGAGUCUACACUGGGAUUUUUGUAAGCAUAGCUAUGUCACUGGGGGGUAGUUUUUCACACCCCUCACAUAGCUAUGCUGAUACAGGUUUUAAGUGUAGACUUGGCUUAAGUAUUUAACAGGUUAUACUUGUCAUAGACCUGUUGUGCUCCCCUUCCCUCCCUCCCACAAAGAACACCCAGGGUGGUGCAUAUCUGGUGGCAAAGUUAAGAUACUCUAGUUUUGUAUUUCCAUACUUUUCAGUGUGUUUUUGCAAGUGUAAACCUAAUUUUCUGAAUUUCCUUGCUUUUGAGUUACUGUAUCUGCUUUAAAGUAGCCUGCUUUUUUUCUACCUUAAGUUAGGCUUUGUCUACGCUAGCACUUUUCUGGGAAAACUUGUCGACCUAAUUAUGUCAGUGUCUACACUACAGCCUUGUCCUGCUGAUGUAAGUGCACUACAACACUGGCGUAAUAACUCCAUCUACAUGAGAGGCGCAGGGCGUAUGUCUGUAGUUAGGGUGCUGUAGUGUCUGUGUAGAUACUGUUACUUACCUCUGUUAGCUCUCUUGUCAAUUUCACUGGAGCUGUGUAAUUGUCGACAAAGCCUGGCAGCUAGAGCCCAGCUGCUCCCUUGGAGAGCAGGGCAGCUGGAUCCUGCUCUCCCCUAUCCCCCGCUCCCAGCAGGGAACGGGGAUGCAAGGGCAGGGAAAGCCCGCCAGGAGCCUAUGGGAAUGACAGGAGCCAGCACUGUGGGGUGGGCUUGCUUUCCAACCCCCCACUUCCCCACACACUGGGACUCCACUCUCCAGCCCUCUUUUCAUGGCUUAAUCUUUUUCCCAUACCUCUGCC
Dermochelys coriacea (leatherback sea turtle) is the source of this 1189-nucleotide long non-coding RNA. RefSeq lists it as uncharacterized. The transcript has 3 exons. The record is from RefSeq and is a predicted model, not a curated record. Lineage: Eukaryota; Metazoa; Chordata; Testudines; Dermochelyidae.